This is a long non-coding RNA of Manis pentadactyla (Chinese pangolin), 2324 nucleotides long. RefSeq lists it as uncharacterized. NCBI's taxonomy places the organism in Eukaryota, Metazoa, Chordata, Mammalia, Pholidota, Manidae. The transcript has 3 exons. The record is from RefSeq and is a predicted model, not a curated record.
GAUGCUAGUGCUCGACCUCCCGCCGGGAGAACAAGCCGGGUAGUAAAUCCUUUCACCCCAAAGAACGUUUUGCUGUCAAUUUCUUUGGUCACACUGAAUCCAUAGCGAACUUGCCCGGGGCUGAAACCCAUUGGCAAGACAACCCUGACACCGGGACUACGCUCACGGAAGGAAUUGUGUCAGGAGCUGUGAAUAAGGAACUACAAGGUAUAAGAAAAUGAAGGACAGCCUCAACACUUCCAUGCUGUCAUUAUUGAUGAAUUCAUUACCAUUUGGAGAGCUGGCUCUGGCAGUUACUCUGUAAGACUGACUAACCAAAGUCCUUUUAUACAUCUGGAGAGAGCUCAUUGAAAAGGAGUAAGUGGCAUAUUUCCUGGAAUAUUUUUUUUAAUAGGGUUGAGAAGGAUUCAAGCUUAUCUGGUUCCUUCAGUCUAUUUUAUUUAAUAUCAGGAGACUGUAUUAUAUGUCUCCUGGGUACAUGUGUAGUAAAGUUUCCUUUUCACCUGGAAACUUCCCCUACUACUUGUCUCUGAGCUUUUUCAGACAUCUGAUCUGUUACAUGGUAGAAUCUGGGGUUAAAAAUGUAAAUAAGAAGUCACAUAAGGAAAGCUCCAGGGAAGAUGGUGGAUUAGAAGGGCAUAGUGAAAACUUCAUCCCACAUAUACACUGAGGAAGCAGCUAUAUCAAAUCAUCUACAUCAGUUAUAUCAAGCAACCUUUACAAUGACCUGAAGUCUGCAGAAUGGACAAUGUACAACUGGAGAGGAGAAGACUAUAUUGAGAAGGGUAAAGGGGCCGAGCUGUGAUCAGUUGGGACCCAAGCCCUCCUUGCAUCCCAGUCCACAAGCAGGAGGGAGAGAAUGAAGCAGGGAGGGGAUAAGAGCUCAGGAAUCCUGAACGCUUGGCCCUGGAAAUCUGCUCUGGGAACACAAGUCCACAUUGCCCUUGGCUUUCGUGAUUAAUGGGGCUGGACACCAGGAGGAGUUGGAGCCCUCAGGGAGGCUGAGACUUCUGUUGUUUGUGGAGGACAGGCACAAACCUCCGUGGGUCCUGCUGAAACCUAGUACAGAGGUGGCAGUUUGAAAUAUAUGCUAGCUUCAAGAAGUGUUAGUGUGCUAAAAGGGCAAGGGUUGAAAGGAGCUCUCUCUCUAGGAGAAAGGGUAGACAGACAGCACUUUUCCACUCCUCUCUCAGCCCAACUAGCCAGAUACUUGCAGGAGCCAUCUCUGAAACUCUCCACCUGCCCUGCUGACUCUCCUGAGUGUUCACUUGCAUAGCUGCCCCACCUGGUGCACUCUUCCCAGGGGUGGUGUGCCAUUUGCUGACUGACAGAAAGAGGGCGACCCUGUCCAAAACAAAUUCCAGCAGAAGUGCCUCAUGUCACACAAAAGGCAUGCAGAGACUAGCUGUGGGGAUCAGUCAUGGCUGGCAGACAGGCAGAAAGAUGGUCCCUGCCCACAGCCCACCAACAGUCAUCAUGGCUUAGCUGCAGCAGAGAGUCAGGCUCUGGUGAGCAGAGCCAGCAUCCUGGAUACCACAGGAUGCCUAAUAUGUAAAGCCACUACUCUCAAGACCAGAAGGCAUAGCUGAUCUAUCUAAUACAAAGGAAGAAACACAGAGACCCAGACAAAAUGAGAAAGCACAGGAAUAUGUUCGAAACAAAAGAACAAGAUAAAACACCAGACAUAGUGCUAAAUGAAAUAGGAUAAGCAGUCUUCCUGAUACAGAAUUCAAAGUAACAGUCAUAAAGAUGAUCACUGAAAUGGGAAAAUCAAUUCAGGAGCUCAAAGAGAAUUUCAACAGAGAGAGAAAUGUAAAAAAGAUCCAGUCAGAGCUAAAGAAUACAAUAACCACAGUGAAAAAUACAAUUGAAGGAAUGAAUAAUAGGUUGCAGGAAGCAGAGGAACAUAUCAGUGAGUUUUAAGAUGGAGAAAGAAGUCCAGAGUAACCAAGGUGAGGAAUACAGAGAGAAAAAAGACUUCCUAAAAAUCUGAACAUCUCAAGACAACUUUGUGACAAUGCUAAAUGAAACAAUAUUCACAUAUUAGGGGUCCCAAAUGGAGGAGAGAGAGGCAAAGGGGUAGAAAGUCUAUUUGAAGAAAUAAUUGCUUAAAACUCUCUAGUCUGGGGAACUCCAGGUUCUGGAAGCACAGAGAGGCCCUAAAAGGAUAAACCCAAGAAGAACAACUCUAAGACACUUAGUAAUUAAAAUGGCAAAAAUAAAAAAAAAGAGAAUCUUAAAAGCAGCAAGAGAAAGACAGACAGCUACCAAUAAGGGAAACUCCACAGGCUAUCAGCGUAUUUCUCAGCAGAAACUUUACAGGA